GAUGAACGCUGGCGGCGUGCCUAAUACAUGCAAGUCGAGCGAACGGACGAGAAUCUUGCUUCUCUGAUGUUUGCGGCGGACGGGUGAGUCACACGUGGAUAACCUACCUAUCAGACUGGUAUAACUUCGGGAAACCGGAGCUUAUACCGGAUAAUAUUUUGCACCGCGUGGGUCGAAGGUAAAAGACGGUCUUUCUGUCACGUCUAGAUGGAUCCGCGCUGCAUUGGCUAGUUGGUAAGGUAACGGCUUACCACGGCAACGAUGCAUAGCCGGACUGAGAGGGUGGUCGGCCACACGAGAACUGAAACAGCGACCAGACUCCUAAGGGAGGCAGCAGUAGGGAAUGUUACGCAAUGGUCGAAAGCAUGACGGAGCAACGCCGCGCGAGUGAUGAAGGUCUUCGGAUCGUAAAACUCUGUUAUUAGGGAAGAACAUAUGUGUAAGUAAAUGUGCACAUAUUGACGGUAACUAAUAAGAAAGCAACGGCUAACUACGUG
Molecule: ribosomal RNA, 497 nt
Filed under: uncultured bacterium
Lineage: Bacteria
Description: partial 16S ribosomal RNA
Rfam family: Bacterial small subunit ribosomal RNA
Source: RNAcentral